AGAGUUUGAACCUGGCUCAGAUUGAACGCUGGCGGCAGGCCUAACACAUGCAAGUCGAGCGGUAGCACAGAGAGCUUGCUCUCGGGUGACGAGCGGCGGACGGGUGAGUAAUGUCUGGGAAACUGCCUGAUGGAGGGGGAUAACUACUGGAAACGGUAGCUAAUACCGCAUAACGUCGCAAGACCAAAGUGGGGGGCCUUCGGGCCUCAUGCCAUCAGAUGUGCCCAGAUGGGAUUAGCUGGUAGGUGGGGUAACGGCUCACCUAGGCGACGAUCCCUAGCUGGUCUGAGAGGAUGACCAGCCACACUGGAACUGAGACACGGUCCAGACUCCUACGGGAGGCAGCAGUGGGGAAUAUUGCACAAUGGGCGCAAGCCUGAUGCAGCCAUGCCGCGUGUGUGAAGAAGGCCUUCGGGUUGUAAAGCACUUUCAGCGGGGAGGAAGGCGGUGAGGUUAAUAACCUCAUCGAUUGACGUUACCCGCAGAAGAAGCACCGGCUAACUCCGUGCCAGCAGCCGCGGUAAUACGGAGGGUGCAAGCGUUAAUCGGAAUUACUGGGCGUAAAGCGCACGCAGGCGGUCUGUCAAGUCGGAUGUGAAAUCCCCGGGCUCAACCUGGGAACUGCAUUCGAAACUGGCAGGCUAGAGUCUUGUAGAGGGGGGUAGAAUUCCAGGUGUAGCGGUGAAAUGCGUAGAGAUCUGGAGGAAUACCGGUGGCGAAGGCGGCCCCCUGGACAAAGACUGACGCUCAGGUGCGAAAGCGUGGGGAGCAAACAGGAUUAGAUACCCUGGUAGUCCACGCUGUAAACGAUGUCGAUUUGGAGGUUGUGCCCUUGAGGCGUGGCUUCCGGAGCUAACGCGUUAAAUCGACCGCCUGGGGAGUACGGCCGCAAGGUUAAAACUCAAAUGAAUUGACGGGGGCCCGCACAAGCGGUGGAGCAUGUGGUUUAAUUCGAUGCAACGCGAAGAACCUUACCUGGUCUUGACAUCCACAGAACUUUCCAGAGAUGGAUUGGUGCCUUCGGGAACUGUGAGACAGGUGCUGCAUGGCUGUCGUCAGCUCGUGUUGUGAAAUGUUGGGUUAAGUCCCGCAACGAGCGCAACCCUUAUCCUUUGUUGCCAGCGGUCCGGCCGGGAACUCAAAGGAGACUGCCAGUGAUAAACUGGAGGAAGGUGGGGAUGACGUCAAGUCAUCAUGGCCCUUACGACCAGGGCUACACACGUGCUACAAUGGCAUAUACAAAGAGAAGCGACCUCGCGAGAGCAAGCGGACCUCAUAAAGUAUGUCGUAGUCCGGAUUGGAGUCUGCAACUCGACUCCAUGAAGUCGGAAUCGCUAGUAAUCGUAGAUCAGAAUGCUACGGUGAAUACGUUCCCGGGCCUUGUACACACCGCCCGUCACACCAUGGGAGUGGGUUGCAAAAGAAGUAGGUAGCUUAACCUUCGGGAGGGCGCUUACCACUUUGUGAUUCAUGACUGGGGUGAAGUCGUAACAAGGUAACCGUAAC
Molecule: ribosomal RNA, 1506 nt
Filed under: Klebsiella variicola
Lineage: Bacteria; Pseudomonadati; Pseudomonadota; Gammaproteobacteria; Enterobacterales; Enterobacteriaceae
Description: bacterial SSU rRNA
Rfam family: Bacterial small subunit ribosomal RNA
Source: RNAcentral